This 274-nucleotide ribosomal RNA is filed under the name uncultured bacterium. RNAcentral's name for it is "partial 16S ribosomal RNA". It matches the Rfam family "Bacterial small subunit ribosomal RNA", at positions 523 to 796 of the family's 1533-position model. The record is from RNAcentral.
AUACGGAGGGUGCAAGCGUUAAUCGGAAUUACUGGGCGUAAAGGGCGCGUAGGCGGUCUAUCAAGUCAGGUGUGAAAUCCCACGGCUCAACCGUGGAGGUGCAUCUGAAACUGAUAGACUUGAGGAUGGGAGAGGAAAGUGGAAUUCCCGGUGUAGAGGUGAAAUUCGUAGAUAUCGGGAGGAACACCAGUGGCGAAGGCGACUUUCUGGACCAAUACUGACGCUGAGGCGCGAAAGCGUGGGGAGCAAACAGGAUUAGAAGCCCCAGUAGUCC